AAACUGCGAUAAGUAGUGUGAAUUGCAUUUAGUGAAUCAUCGAAUCUUUGAACACACCCUGCACUCACUGGUAUUCCGGUGAGUACGCCUGUUUCAGUAUCAUUGAAAACACACAAUCAAAACAUUUUCUUUGGUUUGAUUGGCUUUGGGUCUAUCAAAAAGUUUGGCUUGUUUCUUACAAGCCAAGCGGCCUGAAAUAUAUUGUCUGGCUAAUUGCAUCGUUGAUGAUCGCUAUUAGACUUUGGCUUUUUUAAAUGAACUGGAGGUUGAUUAACCAGUUUUAGCUUUAGUCAAAUGGUCAUUGUAAAAAAAAUCUCGAUCUUGGCUAGGUGUUUAUAGCCGAAAAUUUUUUUUUGGCUAUAACCGAAACCAAUAUAAUCACAUUUAGUUAUCGAUCUGAAAUCAGGUGGGACUACCCGCUGAACUUAAGC
RNAcentral lists this unclassified non-coding RNA (431 nucleotides) under plant metagenome. RNAcentral describes it as "partial contains 5.8S ribosomal RNA, internal transcribed spacer 2, and large subunit ribosomal RNA". The stretch from base 1 to 102 matches the Rfam family "5.8S ribosomal RNA", at positions 50 to 154 of the family's 154-position model. The record is from RNAcentral.